Molecule: long non-coding RNA, 209 nt
Filed under: Volvox carteri
Lineage: Eukaryota; Viridiplantae; Chlorophyta; Chlorophyceae; Chlamydomonadales; Volvocaceae
Description: long non-coding RNA (VCAR_LNC002891)
Source: RNAcentral
UGCGGCUAUUGAACUGGGCAGCCUUUUGAGCUCAAAAUGUCCCGAACACAGCUUCAAGGCCACACAUCUUAGGGCCGGGGUGCAGAUACACGUGGCCGGCGUGCACGUAUGCUGAUUGCGUGAUAGGUGGUGUUCGAAAUGAGGCAGGUGGCCGUAGGGUAUGUAUGAAGACUGCGCCAAUCCACUAUCUACAUUUUUGCGGAGCAUUG